This 784-nucleotide ribosomal RNA is filed under the name uncultured bacterium. Its description in RNAcentral is "bacterial SSU rRNA". It matches the Rfam family "Bacterial small subunit ribosomal RNA", at positions 8 to 787 of the family's 1533-position model. The record is from RNAcentral.
AGAGUUUGAUCAUGGCUCAGAUUGAACGCUGGCGGCAGGCCUAACACAUGCAAGUCGAGCGGUAGAGAGAAGCUUGCUUCUCUUGAGAGCGGCGGACGGGUGAGUAAUGCCUAGGAAUCUGCCUGGUAGUGGGGGAUAACGUCCGGAAACGGACGCUAAUACCGCAUACGUCCUACGGGAGAAAGCAGGGGACCUUCGGGCCUUGCGCUAUCAGAUGAGCCUAGGUCGGAUUAGCUAGUUGGUGGGGUAAUGGCUCACCAAGGCGACGAUCCGUAACUGGUCUGAGAGGAUGAUCAGUCACACUGGAACUGAGACACGGUCCAGACUCCUACGGGAGGCAGCAGUGGGGAAUAUUGGACAAUGGGCGAAAGCCUGAUCCAGCCAUGCCGCGUGUGUGAAGAAGGUCUUCGGAUUGUAAAGCACUUUAAGUUGGGAGGAAGGGCAGUAAAUUAAUACUUUGCUGUUUUGACGUUACCGACAGAAUAAGCACCGGCUAACUCUGUGCCAGCAGCCGCGGUAAUACAGAGGGUGCAAGCGUUAAUCGGAAUUACUGGGCGUAAAGCGCGCGUAGGUGGUUCGUUAAGUUGGAUGUGAAAUCCCCGGGCUCAACCUGGGAACUGCAUUCAAAACUGACGAGCUAGAGUAUGGUAGAGGGUGGUGGAAUUUCCUGUGUAGCGGUGAAAUGCGUAGAUAUAGGAAGGAACACCAGUGGCGAAGGCGACCACCUGGACUGAUACUGGCACUGAGGUGCGAAAGCGUGGGGAGCAAACAGGAUUAGAUACCC